CUUGAAACACCGGAUCCCGUACGAUUACCGAAGUUAAGCAACGUCUAGUCUGGUCAGUAUCUAGAUAGGUGACCGUUUGGAAAUACCAGG
Acanthosepion pharaonis is the source of this 90-nucleotide non-coding RNA. NCBI's taxonomy places the organism in Eukaryota, Metazoa, Mollusca, Cephalopoda, Sepiida, Sepiidae. The record is from the annotation of a GenBank genome assembly.